UGUGAAGUAGCCCGUAAGUGGAAGCGGUGCGGUCUGUAAAACCGUUGUCUUUCGACCUUGUAAGUUCGAUUCUUACCUUCACAA
This 84-nucleotide transfer RNA is filed under the name Chitinophagales bacterium. Its description in RNAcentral is "tRNA-Tyr". It matches the Rfam family "tRNA". Rfam says of the family: Transfer RNA (tRNA) molecules are approximately 80 nucleotides in length. Their secondary structure includes four short double-helical elements and three loops (D, anti-codon, and T loops). Lineage: Bacteria; Pseudomonadati; Bacteroidota; Chitinophagia; Chitinophagales. The record is from RNAcentral.